AGCGAACGCUGGCGGCAGGCUUAACACAUGCAAGUCGAGCGGGCAUCCUUGUGGUGUCAGCGGCAGACGGGUGAGUAACGCGUGGGAACGUGCCCUUCGGUUCGGAAUAACUCAGGGAAACUUGAGCUAAUACCGGAUACGUGCGAGAGCAGAAAGGUUUAUCUGCCGAAGGAUCGGCCCGCGUCUGAUUAGCUAGUUGGUGAGGUUAUGGCUCACCAAGGCGACGAUCAGUAGCUGGUCUGAGAGGAUGAUCAGCCACACUGGGACUGAGACACGGCCCAGACUCCUACGGGAGGCAGCAGUGGGGAAUAUUGGACAAUGGGGCAACCCUGAUCCAGCCAUGCCGCGUGAGUGAUGACGGCCUUAGGGUUGUAAAGCUCUUUUCUCCGGGACGAUAAUGACGGUACCGGAGGAAUAAGCCCCGGCUAACUUCGU
This 435-nucleotide ribosomal RNA is filed under the name uncultured bacterium. Its description in RNAcentral is "partial 16S ribosomal RNA". It matches the Rfam family "Bacterial small subunit ribosomal RNA", at positions 29 to 506 of the family's 1533-position model. The record is from RNAcentral.